UACGUAGGAGGCAAGCGUUGUCCGGAAUUACUGGGCGUAAAGCGCGUGUAGGCGGUCUGAAUAGUCUGCUGUGAAAGCGCCUGGCUUAACCGGGCGAGGUCGGCGGAAACUCUCAGACUGGAGGCCGGUAGAGGGGGGGUGGAAUUCCCGGUGUAGUGGUGAAAUGCGUAGAGAUCGGGAGGAACACCUGUGGCGAAGGCGGCCCCCUGGGCCGCGCCUGACGCUGAGACGCGAAGGCUAGGGGAGCGAACGGG
RNAcentral lists this ribosomal RNA (254 nucleotides) under uncultured bacterium. Its description in RNAcentral is "partial 16S ribosomal RNA". It matches the Rfam family "Bacterial small subunit ribosomal RNA", at positions 524 to 776 of the family's 1533-position model. The record is from RNAcentral.